UACGGGGGGGGCAAGCGUUGUUCGGAAUUACUGGGCGUAAAGGGCUCGUAGGUGGUCAACUAAGUCGGACGUGAAAUCCCUCGGCUUAACCGGGGAACUGCGUCCGAUACUGGAUGACUUGAGUUCGGGAGAGGGAUGCGGAAUUCCAGGUGUAGCGGUGAAAUGCGUAGAUAUCUGGAGGAACACCGGUGGCGAAGGCGGCGUCCUGGACCGACACUGACGCUGAGGAGCGAAAGCCAGGGGAGCAAACGGG
This 253-nucleotide ribosomal RNA is filed under the name uncultured bacterium. RNAcentral's name for it is "partial 16S ribosomal RNA". It matches the Rfam family "Bacterial small subunit ribosomal RNA", at positions 524 to 776 of the family's 1533-position model. The record is from RNAcentral.